AGUCAAGGAUGGGAAGAAACAGGGUUUUG
Molecule: non-coding RNA, 29 nt
Filed under: Homo sapiens (human)
Lineage: Eukaryota; Metazoa; Chordata; Mammalia; Primates; Hominidae
Source: RNAcentral